AAGGCUGAAAUUCGCCUUCAUGAAGCUGGAAUUGCUAGUAAUGGCAGGUCAGCAUACUGCCGUGAAUACGUUCCCGGGCCCUGUACACACCGCCCGUCACACCAUGAGAGUUGGAAAUACCCGAAGCCUGUGAGCUAACUGUAAAGAGGCAGCAGUCGAAGGUAGAGCCAAUGAUUGGGGUGAAGUCGUAACAAGGUAUC
RNAcentral lists this ribosomal RNA (200 nucleotides) under uncultured bacterium. RNAcentral describes it as "partial 16S ribosomal RNA". It matches the Rfam family "Bacterial small subunit ribosomal RNA", at positions 1301 to 1500 of the family's 1533-position model. The record is from RNAcentral.